UCGUGCAUGUGUAUGUGUGCACAUAUAUUUGUGAUAUGAGCUCCCACAAAAGCAAACUUCAGGAGUCAGUUCCUUUUUCAGAAUCAAAUGCUGGUUUAUACUUUUCUUCCACAAAGUCAGGCAGCUGCUCUAAGCAAUUUCCUUCGUUUGGUUGCUGGGAAGAUAAACAUUUCCAGGAAAUGUCCCAGUAUUCAGAUGCACACCUGUGUCGUAUAAAAAAAAUUAGGCUAACAUCUCUUGACCUAAAUUAAGCAAAAUUUAUUUAGAGAGAAAGUCUGAGUUUAAAGUAGUGUACAUCUAGUUUAGCAAAUGUUAUAGGAAAUGGAUGAUAGGCCCGAUAUAAUAAAUUGAGUUUUGCUUUAGUGCAGCAAUUCUGGCUGAGCAUCAUAUUCUUUCACAAAUUAUAAUUGUGAGAACUGAUAGAAGCACAAAGUAAUUGUGUUAUGAUGCAGGGCUGGAAGAAAAUAGACUUUUUUGACUGAAGCAAUCUCAUUGAGGCUUAGUCUUGAGACUGAAUUGUUUAACUUAAAAAACUGUACUAUAUAUUUUGUUUCCACAGAUAUAUUUUGUAAUUUAUCCAGAAGGAGCAUUUUACAACCCAGAACUGCCCAAAGUAAUUACAGAUAGCCAGUCAUACUGAAAAGAAAGGUCUCACAAUACUGAAACAUGUCCUUACUCCACGGGUGAAGGCCACUCAUGUUGCUGUUGAUUCCAUGAAGAGCUACUUUGAUGCAGUUUAUGAGGUUACAAUAGCCUAAGAAGGAACUGUAGAUCAUAAAGGACAAAGGAAAGUGGCACCAUCCAUGGCUGGUGAGCAGAUUGCUAAACAGGAUUUUAUGAUGCAAAAGAUUCUAAAAGAAGAAAUAAGUUUCUUGGGAAAAGUCUUUGCUCCAAACUAAGUCUCCAGAAAACAUUGCCAUCCUAAUUGUUUUUAAGAGGCUUGAUUGCCACCAUGCUAAUAGAAUCUGGAAGGAAACUGCAUGAAAACACGGAUAUAUGGCAGCUUAUUAGGCUGUCUCUGGGACUUGGCACAAUAUGUAAAUGAAGUGAAGCAAGAUAAUGAAACUCUCUGUGAAAUUAAGCAAUUUCAAUCAUCAAUAGAAAAUUUUGUAGGAUUUUAUAAGAUGCUGCUUUUUUAUUUUUUAAGAUUUUCCCCUCUUUGUAUACCUGUCAUUUAUAGACCUUUAAGCAGGAAAGCUGAAAGUGAAAAUUCUGGCAGGGUUAAGACUAAAGUCAGGGUGGAGCACAGGCAAGCUUGUCCAAAGGUAGAGUCAAUUGCAGGUAAGAAACUAAACCAAUAUAUUCUGAAAAAGGUUUGAACACAGAUUCCAGAAAACUGGGAUAUUGAGAAUCAGAAGACAGCUAAUCAAGAGAGUUAGAAUAGAAACAGGAACUUUAAGCCAGGGGUCCUCAAACCCCAGUCCGUGGACCGGUACUGGGCCAUGGUAUGCCAGCAACCGAUUUGCACAAACAAGCAAAGCCCCAUCUGCGGGAUGCAGGCAGCUCACAAAACCACGCACCCUCUGGUCCACGGAAAAACCUCUCCACGGAAUUGAUUCCUGGUGCCCAAAAGGCUGGGGACCUCUGAGUUAGAUCAUUGUUAAUUAUCUGGUAUUAUCUGAUCAUGCUGGAAAUAUCAGUGAGAAAUAGCUGAAGAACAUAGGAACUUGUUCGUCCAAGCCAAGCAUUUUCUUGAGAUGCACUAAUGAGGGAAAAUGCAAGAACUAUUCAACUUUUUCCUUAUUCUACUCACCAGCUCCUCCCUUCUUUUUUUACUAAGGUAUUUAGGUAUUCAUAAAACAUAAAAAGCUACAGAAGCAACUCUUAAUUGCUCUAAUUUUAGGCUGAUUUAGAAAAGCAACUGAAAGGAAUAAGAACAGCAAUUACAUGUAAUGUCUCUCAGUCAACUAUAACUAAUAUAGCACACUGAAACAUUUUCUCUUUCUUACACAUCUGUGCGUGCGCAAAUGCAUAUAUGUAGUCUACUUUCUGUUGACAGUCCCCAAAUUGGAUAAAAUAAAGUAAGAUGAUAAAGCCCAAAAUUAUAAACACUGAACUCAUACAAAAUUAUGAAACCAUAGAAGAAGACCAUGACGGGCUGGAAGGAGAAGCUGGACCACAUCUGGAAAGCAUUGUGCAGAGGAAGACUGGGUUAUGUUGCACUAAAGUUGAUGGAAAAUAGUACUUAGAGAUUUUUUUAAAAAAAUUAAAAAAAAAAACCUGGCACUGCUAUUGAACAUUUUGGAAGCCAAUUUUAUGACUUGGGUUGAAUUGCAGUGUAAUCAAGUAAUCGGUUUAAUUCCCACUUGGAAGAAAAGAAUAACUCCACACAGACAUUGAUUUAAACACCGUUUUAUGACCUGCAAAUGUGCAGUUCUGAGUAAAAGCCAAAAAAUUCUUGUUAACUAGAUAUAAAUUAACUUUCCGGUACAGAUAGUCUUCAACUUCAGUUCAUUUAGUGACCAUUUGAAAUUACAGUGGCACCGAAAAAAAUGAGUUAUGGCCGUUUUUCACACUUACGACCAUUGCCAUAUCCCUA
Crotalus tigris (Tiger rattlesnake) is the source of this 2539-nucleotide long non-coding RNA. RefSeq lists it as uncharacterized. NCBI's taxonomy places the organism in Eukaryota, Metazoa, Chordata, Lepidosauria, Squamata, Viperidae. The record is from RefSeq and is a predicted model, not a curated record. The transcript is spliced from 4 exons.